Molecule: ribosomal RNA, 625 nt
Filed under: Pantoea sp. ARC270
Lineage: Bacteria; Pseudomonadati; Pseudomonadota; Gammaproteobacteria; Enterobacterales; Erwiniaceae
Description: bacterial LSU rRNA
Rfam family: Bacterial large subunit ribosomal RNA
Source: RNAcentral
GUGGUGUGACUGCGUACCUUUUGUAUAAUGGGUCAGCGACUUAUAUUCUGUAGCAAGGUUAACCGUAUAGGGGAGCCGCAGGGAAACCGAGUCUUAACUGGGCGUUAAGUUGCAGGGUAUAGACCCGAAACCCGGUGAUCUAGCCAUGGGCAGGUUGAAGGUUGGGUAACACUAACUGGAGGACCGAACCGACUAAUGUUGAAAAAUUAGCGGAUGACCUGUGGCUGGGGGUGAAAGGCCAAUCAAACCGGGAGAUAGCUGGUUCUCCCCGAAAGCUAUUUAGGUAGCGCCUCGUGAACUCAUCUCCGGGGGUAGAGCACUGUUUCGGCUAGGGGGCCAUCCCGGCUUACCAACCCGAUGCAAACUGCGAAUACCGGAGAAUGUUAUCACGGGAGACACACGGCGGGUGCUAACGUCCGUCGUGAAGAGGGAAACAACCCAGACCGCCAGCUAAGGUCCCAAAGUCAUGGUUAAGUGGGAAACGAUGUGGGAAGGCACAGACAGCCAGGAUGUUGGCUUAGAAGCAGCCAUCAUUUAAAGAAAGCGUAAUAGCUCACUGGUCGAGUCGGCCUGCGCGGAAGAUGUAACGGGGCUAAACCAUGCACCGAAGCUGCGGCAGCGACAC